UUCGGUUCAUCACACUUUUACUCUUGCCUGAAUAUCCUUCUCCAGAAUUCUUCCCUGUAAGGUUAGUGCAUAAAAAGGGAUGAGCUCAUGAAGCUCAGUAAGCAUAUACGUACAUUCCAACUGAGUUUUAUUCACAAAACUUGGUGAACCAAAUCAAUAUUUCAUCAAAGUCAUCAAAACAGUUUCACACAUCAAGAUGAGUAUGAGUAUUCAAACACGUUCAAAGUUCACACGUUCUACUGUUGGGGAUCCCGGCCAGCUAAACAAUUGGUUUAGCUUUCCUUCCCGAAGGAAGUAUCAUACUUACUUCCCGAAGGAAGCAUCACACACAGAACAAAUGUAAGAAUACUCAUUUCUCAUCAGAAGUCAUCAACAAAAUGUUCACCGAAACAUCAUAAAAUAUCACAGUGAAGGGUACAGUAUAUACUUACAGUGCACCACGUUCCAGUUUAAGUUGAUUACUCAAUCUCGCCUUCCAGAUAAUCAAUCUUCUAUAUCACAAAAUAAUAAAUUUAGAAUCUUAUCUUAUAAGGACAAUCUCGUAGAAUCUACUUAUAAUUCCUCAUUUAAUAUUUACUUAGAUCGUUUCUCAUUUAUUCUAAAUUACCCUUUUUAUUCAAUAAAUCCACUAAUUUAGUUAAGUAUUUAUUAAAUCAACCAAAUUAUAAAUCUAUUUAAUAUAUCUCAAAUCCAAAAUUAGGCAUCACCAUCAAAUCCGAAAUAUUAUUUACUUAAAUUUUCAUGUUUUACACUUUUACUAAUUCCAUUGUUUAAUCCCUCAAAUUAUUUAAAUACUAAUAUUCAAUAUUCUAGCCAAUGAGGAGCUGACACAUCAUCAUCUUCUACAACACACCCAUCUAGUUUCUCUCUCCCCGAAGUCAACACCCAUAGCCAAACUUUGACCAACCAUAACUCCCUCAUUUUUCAUCCAAAUCAUAUGAUUCAAGAGUCGAUUCCAUCUAUUUUUUCACAAGGAAUCCAAAUAUGUAUUUUAUUUUACAAUCCGACACUAAAUUAGUGCACAGCGGAUUAUUAUCAGAACCCAUUUUUAAUAAAAUUACUAAACUGCCCCUCAACUCCUCUCCCUCAUCUCUCCUUCUUUCUGCCCAGCAGCCACGCUCCGGCGAUUCGCCGCCUCAGCUCCGCCUUCGACCUCCCUCUCCCUCCAGUUCUCUCUCUCUCUCUCUACACACACCCAACUCGACACACACAACCCAUUAGCCAACUCAAUUUCUCGCUCACUGUCUCUCCUCUCACUACUCCGAUCAGCCGCAGAUGAGACAUUGCCGGCGAGCUCCGCUCGGCGGUGCUCCGGCCUAUCUCUCUCCGGCAGCCAUCCUCCCAACCAACACUCUCUCCCAACAAUCAAAAUCCAACCUCAAUUAAUUCAGCUUUACCAAGUCAACACCAAAAACCAAAAUUAUGAAUAACCCUAAUUAAGUUUUUGGAGUUUAAUUUCUACAACUUUGCACACGGAUGUAAAUAUUAAGUUAUAAACAUGAAUUAUAAACCACCUUUCUUAUGAAUUUUACUAUAUUAAAUUAUUAAUACACCAUAUGUGGUCCCAGUAGAGAAGUGAAAGCAUGCUCCUUCAUUUACCAUAAAUAUAUAUGUAUUUGAAGCACAAGACUAGACCAUUACCUCUUUUAAGUUGUUUUAAUUCUCUUUUCCUUUUAAUCUCCCAAAGCUUUCUUUCUGCCGGACUUUCUUCACUUGUUUUCUUCUCCUCGGCUCACUUUUUAACUUCUUUUAUCCAACAAAACUCUAGGCACCCCAAAGUUGGGUUUUUAUAGAGCUCCCCUUAAUUGCGAUUACUCCUAAUAUCCAUUAAUUAAUUUUUAACUAUGCACUUUGCUUGGCCGCCAAGUAUCGAGACUUGGGCACCAAGUGAUUAUGCUUGCGUUCCAAGUUUCGUAACUUGUUCCCUAAGUUCCGUCUCACUAUUAAUAAUUCCCACUUCAUUUAUACUUUUCAUAAUUGUGAAUAUGAAAUAAUUAAAUCUUUGUACAAAAUAAUUAAAUAAGUAUAUUAUUAACUAUUUUAAUAUUUUCUAAUCAAUCCCCAAAUUUAUAAAAUAAUAGAAAUAAUCAUCUUGGCUAAAACGUAAUAUUUAUUCACAAGUCAUUAAAUAAAUAUUCAUGUCUACUAUACCUUUCAUAUGAACGCAGCUAUCGCGUUAAUAUACAUAUUUAAAUUAACGACAGGCCCACACCAAAUAAUAUUACGUGUUUUCUAGAAUUCUUAAAACUACGACCUUAAUAUUUCCCGCAUUAUAAAUCUUAUUAAAUCCGAGACUAAUAAAAUAGUCCUUUUUGCACAAUAAAUAAUUAAAUUAAAUAAUCAUACUUGUAAAUUUCACGGGUGUUACACUCUUCCCUCCUUAUAGGAUUCCGUCCUCGGAAUCCCGAUUGGUGCUAAACAACUCUGGUUGCACUAACGUCUCAUAAAUCCUUCCCUCCUUAUGCUUUAAAUUCUUAACUUCUAAUCCUAGCUUUUCCAUUUCUCGAAUCAAUUCAUGUGGUAACGACAUAACAUUAACUCUUUCUUUUCUACUUAAUGCAUCAUCAACUAAAUUUGCUUUCCCUGUGUGAUAGUUAAUCGUACAGUCAUAGUUCUUUAUCAAUUCUAACCAUCUCAUUUUUGUCUCAUAUUUAACUUCUUUUGAGUAAACAAGUAUUUUCAACUCUUAUGAUCUGUAAAUAUCUCACACUUCUCACCAUAGCAGUAAUGUCACCAAAUCUUUAAAGCAGAUACUAUAGCAGUUAAUUCUAGGUCAUGGGUAGGAUAUCUCAAUCCGUAGUCCUUAAGUUGUCCAGAAGCAUAUGUUAUCACUUUUCCAUGUUGCAUAAGAACACAUCCUAUUCAUAAAAUCCAUAAAUGCUAUAGGUGGAUUAGUCAAUCCGAAGGCAUCUCUUAAAACUUACAAUGUUCAUAUCGGGUCCUCAAGUCCACCUUAGGUAUAUUUUUAGGCUUAAUCCCUAAUUGAUGGUAUUCAGAUCUCAAAUCUAGCUUAUAAAAGUAAGACGUUCUCUUCAAUCGAUCAAACAAAUCAACAACCUUAGGUAAGGGUUAUAUUAUAUAACUUUCAGUAAUCGAUGUGGCAUCCUUCAAAUACGGGGGUCUCGAUUUAACGUCACCAUACAACACCUUCUUAAAACACUUUUUCAAAGCAACUGUAUUUUGAGAAGAACAAAAUCAAAUUAUUUGAAAUCUUAGCAUUUUGAAAAGAACUUAAAGGAAAUAAGAAUUUUGAAAACUUUCUUGGAUAUAUAAAAGUCUUUCACAAUGGUAAUCACCAAUCAAUGAGUUUUCAAAUAGCUUUCAUUUGAAAUAAAAGGAUGACUGAGAGAUCAAUAAUGAUCAAGAGAACUAAGUGUUGCGUGUCUAAAUUAAGACACUACUAAAGGUUGUUAACCUUCUUGUAAUCACAACACACACAAGUGAUGGCGUCCCAUCCAACUCCUAUCACACAGACAGGUAUACCUUGUGUCCCCUAUUAUUAGGGUUGUUCAUCUCAAUCGGAUUAAAGAAAUAUCAAGGAAAUAAGAUUUAUCUCAAAGAUUUGCUUUCGAACGAUUUUCUCACAACUUGGUCAAACUUUAUCUACUAUAAUUACUUCUUAGUCAACUAAGUAUAUAUCACACGAGACUCUUCUAUAACUUGUUUAACUUCCCGCCAAUAAUCAGCCUCUCUAUUAAGCAUAUAAGUAUCAAAGAUGAUUUUCUUAUUCUCUUCUGCACCAAAUAUUUCAAAAGUCUUCUUUAUUUCUCUUAGCCAUAUCUUGGCCUCAACAGGAUCUACAGUCCCUUUUACUCUGGGGGUUCUAGCUAUAGUAAGUACUAAACACAUAGUUUAUCCGCACAUUCACAACUAUGAUCCAUAUAUCCCCUAGACCACUUUUCUAACUUAAAAUCACACUAAUCUAGAGUCUUAAUCCUACUUUCGCCGAUUCUCGAACCUAUAGCUCUGAUACCACCUGUGACGCCCCGGCCCGGGAUGACCUCAGCAACACGACCCGGGGUGUCAUUCUACUGAACACACCGAAAUACAUCUUCAUAAUCUCAAACUUUAACAUAACUUAAAGGCAUAUUUUACCUUACAUCAGAGUCUUACAUCACUCUUCUAAAAGUUCACAAAUAUUUCUUUCGAUUACAUAAUACUUCUCCUAAACUUCUACUUGCAAAUCCAAUCAAGUCUAGCACUUCGGUUCAUCACACUUUUACUCUUGCCUGAAUAUCCUUCUCCAGAAUUCUUCCCUGUAAGGUUAGUGCAUAAAAAGGGAUGAGCUCAUGAAGCUCAGUAAGCAUAUACGUACAUUCCAACUGAGUUUUAUUCACAAAACUUGGUGAACCAAAUCAAUAUUUCAUCAAAGUCAUCAAAACAGUUUCACACAUCAAGAUGAGUAUGAGUAUUCAAACACGUUCAAAGUUCACACGUUCUACUGUUGGGGAUCCCGGCCAGCUAAACAAUUGGUUUAGCUUUCCUUCCCGAAGGAAGUAUCAUACUUACUUCCCGAAGGAAGCAUCACACACAGAACAAAUGU
Molecule: long non-coding RNA, 4543 nt
Filed under: Daucus carota (carrot)
Lineage: Eukaryota; Viridiplantae; Streptophyta; Magnoliopsida; Apiales; Apiaceae
Description: long non-coding RNA (DCAR_LNC005806)
Source: RNAcentral